AUUCCUUUGAGGUGAAAUUAUUCGGUCACUUAAAAAAAAAACUUUGGAUCAGGUCAUUUUGGCAUUCAAUAUUAGUCAAAAAUAUUUUAAUAUCUGUGAACAAAUGGAACCGUCAAGUCAUGUAACCUGAGAGUAAACACACCUAAAAAAAUACCUUAAUACAGUAAGCGCUACACUUAGAAAAUGAGGAAAUGAUAAAUUAUAAGUUUCAGAUUUAAUGUUAUGGAGCACGAAGCGCCUAUGCCCCGACGUUGUGGCCGCCCUUGUGAGAAGAACGAGAACGCAGUAGACCGGUUUCGAAAUAUGCACGAGCCUCAUACCCAGCAGUCCAACAAGGUGCAUCCAGAGAAGACCAACCAGAACAGUCCUUCUCUUUCCAAUGAGCUUAGCAAGAGGCGCUCGCUACAGAAUCCCGAUAUGGAGAGUCAUCAUAAGUGAUUCUUACCUCUUAUGGCUUUUAAAAUAAGCUCUAAUUUCCAACGAGUCUCGUACCCAGCAGUCCAACAAGGUGCAUCAGAGAAGACCAACCAGAACUCUCCGUCUACAGAACCCCGAUAUGGGGAGUCAUCAUAAGUGAUUCUUAAUUCUUAUGCCUUUAAAAUAAGGCCUAAUUUCCGAUGAACCUCAUUGCCAACAGUUCAAUAGGUACAUCCGGAGAAGACCAAUCAGAACAGUCUCUAGAAAUUGUCCGGACUAGAAAAACACAUACUCAACAUCGGCUGAUAUAUUAAAUUAUUAAUUAUCUUUAUAUAUAUAAUAUAUUGACGACGACUGACCACACCAUCAACACGAUCAAGGCCUCGGACCGGACCAAGGUCGCGGUAAGUACUCGCGGUCCAGUAGGUACGCCCGUCUGUUCCUACUUUAAAAAUAGUCUCGGAUUUACGUUUUCGGUAAACUUAAUAAAGAAAAGACGCUUCCCAUAUACAUUUACGUACAACCCGUCAUAGGGAGCGUGCAUGAACUGUACGAGGCAGCACAGGAGCCGUCAAAUUUUCGGCGUUAGUCGUAAAUGUGAUGUUUAUUGUUCCGAUGUAGCCCACAAGAUGGCAAAACCUACUAUGCACAAGAAAACACGUGACGUGCAAAAGUACAUGUUUAUUGUUCCGAUUCAGGCCACAAGAUGGCAGACCCUCCAACGCGCACGGUCCCUAUAAUCACAUCCAGAAAAAAUAUUCGGUUAAAUUGACACCGGGGUCAGACGUGAGAUAGUCAGAUAGAGUAGGUAUGUAUGUAUUAGUACCACUUAUCUCUAUGACCGAUAAGUGAAGCGCCUACACGAAUAUUUGCGGAAGGAAUUAAAAUAAUCGGUAAGCUAAGGCGUAUAAUACCUUUAUCAAUAAACAUAAUAUAAUUCACAGCCAA
Molecule: long non-coding RNA, 1365 nt
Organism: Cydia pomonella (codling moth)
Lineage: Eukaryota; Metazoa; Arthropoda; Insecta; Lepidoptera; Tortricidae
Exons: 2
Source: RefSeq, a predicted model, not a curated record